UAGGGAAUAUUGCACAAUGGGCGAAAGCCUGAUGCAGCAACGCCGCGUGCGCGAUGAAGGCCUUCGGGUUGUAAAGCGCUUUUCGGGGAGAUGAGGAAGGACAGUAUCCCCGGAAUAAGGCUCGGCUAACUACGUGCCAGCAGCCGCGGUAAAACGUAGGAGCCAAGCGUUAUCCGAAUUCACUGGGCGCAAAGCGUGUGCAGGCGGUCUGAUAAGUUGGAUGUGAAAUCUCCUGGCUCAACUGGGAGAGGCCGUUCAAUACUGUUAGACUAGAGGGUAACAGAGGAAGGUGGAAUUCCCGGUGUAGUGGUGAAAUGCGUAGAUAUCGGGAGGAACACCAGUGGCGAAGGCGACCUUCUGGGUUGCACCUGACGCUCAGACACGAAAGCUAGGGGAGCGAACGG
This 404-nucleotide ribosomal RNA is filed under the name uncultured bacterium. Its description in RNAcentral is "bacterial SSU rRNA". It matches the Rfam family "Bacterial small subunit ribosomal RNA", at positions 355 to 775 of the family's 1533-position model. The record is from RNAcentral.